This 301-nucleotide ribosomal RNA is filed under the name uncultured bacterium. RNAcentral's name for it is "partial 16S ribosomal RNA". It matches the Rfam family "Bacterial small subunit ribosomal RNA", at positions 509 to 807 of the family's 1533-position model. The record is from RNAcentral.
CAGCAGCCACGGUAAUACAGAGGGUGCGAGCGUUAAUCGGAUUUACUGGGCGUAAAGCGUGCGUAGGCGGCUUUUUAAGUCGGAUGUGAAAUCCCUGAGCUUAACUUAGGAAUUGCAAUCGAUACUGGGAAGCUAGAGUAUGGGAGAGGAUGGUAGAAUUCCAGGUGUAGCGGUGAAAUGCGUAGAGAUCUGGAGGAAUACCGAUGGCGAAGGCAGCCAUCUGGCCUAAUACUGACGCUGAGGUACGAAAGCAUGGGGAGCAAACAGGAUUAGAUACCCCUGUAGUCCCUGUCUCUUAUAC